Small nuclear RNA from Meriones unguiculatus (Mongolian gerbil), 105 nucleotides. NCBI's taxonomy places the organism in Eukaryota, Metazoa, Chordata, Mammalia, Rodentia, Muridae. The record is from Ensembl.
GUUCUGGCUUCUGCUGCACACACGCUAAAACUACAACAGUACGAGAAGAUUAGUAUGGCCCUUGUGCAAGAUGACACAAAGACUCGUGAUGAAUUCCAUAUUUUC